Molecule: long non-coding RNA, 770 nt
Organism: Electrophorus electricus (electric eel)
Lineage: Eukaryota; Metazoa; Chordata; Actinopteri; Gymnotiformes; Gymnotidae
Source: RefSeq, a predicted model, not a curated record
GUCGUCAUUCAUGCUCUGUGGAGCAGAGAUGGAGCAUAGGCAUGUGGUCUGUGGGAGAGAGAUGGUUGCCUGACUGAGUACAUAGGCCAGGCCACUGGCUCUGCCUCACAACACCUCACAUUAGGUUAAUUUUCCAUUUCAUCGCAGUUGAUUUAGUGCUUAAGGAUAUGACCUUGAAGACCAGAUGUCAAGAGCAUUACGUAGGAGAGGAGCCGUGAGGAGAGAAGAGAGAAGUGGCUUGCAGCAUGGAGCGUUGGGGACGAAGUUAGAGAGGAAGGAGCGGAGCAGAUGGGUUAAUCGAGGUCAGCGAGGGAUGCUAAUAUUCAAAAGGAAGAACAAAGAGAGAAGGAGAAUGAGAGACACUCACUAGAAAGUCUUUCUCUGGACUGCAUCAAACUGGUAGAGUAAAUGCACACGGACGCACAGAAUGUUUUUCAGCACCACUGACACACUCUAACUUCGUGCAAACAAUUCAACUCGCUGUCACGUCAGUGUGCACACAGCAUGUACGCACACACAAACACUGUGACAUUAAGCAUGCCUUACUGAAACUCAUGACUCUAAGCAGGUCUUUCUGAAAUGCUUCUUAAUUUUAGGAGUGCACAUCACUCCUUAAAUGAAACAAUUAUAGUUUGGGAUACGGUCAAGAACUGUGUCAAGAAUUCAGGGCGCUUUCCGCUCUGUGCUAGAAGGUUGGACCCCAUGUUUUCUGAAAAACUGAGUGCCUGAAGUCAAAGAUCAGCAGGGAUGGUGUGGUGGGCCAUGAGAGC